RNAcentral lists this long non-coding RNA (1076 nucleotides) under Homo sapiens (human). RNAcentral's name for it is "HSALNT0340974". Lineage: Eukaryota; Metazoa; Chordata; Mammalia; Primates; Hominidae. The record is from RNAcentral.
AACAGUCUGUUGGUGAGAUUUGGGCUCUUGUGCAUUGAUUUAGUCCACUGUUGUGACUGACUUGAAUACUUGAACUCAACCCACAGGAAGUGUCGACUUUUAUACCUCUAGCUAUGUCCUGGAAAAUGUCCCUGAUUGUGAAUUUCUGCUACUGACUGGGUCCAGGUCUGAGUUCCAUUGCUGUUCCUGUGAUCUGGGUUCAAAAAUGAGUCACUUUCUCACCUGUGACUGCACCUACAUAUGACAGUCACAGUUCCAAGUCUGGAUUGCAUUUGCAUGUGAGAUUUAGGCCUCACCAGUGAGCACUGUCUAUAUGUGAGGGUGACAAUUCUAUUCAGCUGGAUGUGCAUAUAAGAGUCACAAUCUCACCUUUGUUCUGGGUCCUGUUAUGACACUGUAUUAUUUGAGGACUUUACACAGUAUGCCUUGGUAUCAUAAUACACUAUGACCUUUAUUUAAGUAGGAGACCAAGGACCUUGCCUGUUGCUCUAAGCCUAGAUAUCAGAGUCAAAAUCUGUUCUCUUAGCUGGAUCCAGGUAUGUGAGUUAUCACCUCACCUGUGAGCUGUGACCAUGUAUAUGUCACAAUUUCACCUGUGGGCAGGAACCAGACAUGAGAGUCCUAUCACCUGGGUGCUGGGUGUAAGAGUCAACAACUCCUGAGACUUAGGUUCAAGUGCAUGAGUCACAAUCUCAACAGUGGAUUGCAUCCUGCCAUGAGAGCCCCAAUCCCUUCUCCAAGCUGUGUUCCAGUAGAGGAGUCGCAACAUCAAUGGUGUGCUGAAUCCUGGUUGGAGAGUUCCCACUUCACCUGUGGACUGGAUCUGUAUAUAAGAGGAGAGAUGUCGACUCUCAUGCCUGGGCUUAGGGCAAUGGGCAUGAUCCUACAUUUGGGAUUGUAGCAACAACUCUUGACUGCCCUUGGGUGUGAGAUUCAGAACCUCAAUUGUGACCUGUGUACACUUGGGCAUGUGACAAUUUCUACUUUUGGCUGUGUGUUCAUACAAGACUCUCAAUCUCACCUGUGUUCUGGGCCCUGUUAUUAGACUCUCUGUACCACCCACGGGGUUUAUUCAA